This 2900-nucleotide ribosomal RNA is filed under the name Klebsiella quasivariicola. RNAcentral describes it as "23S ribosomal RNA". It matches the Rfam family "Bacterial large subunit ribosomal RNA". Lineage: Bacteria; Pseudomonadati; Pseudomonadota; Gammaproteobacteria; Enterobacterales; Enterobacteriaceae. The record is from RNAcentral.
UUAAGCGACUAAGCGUACACGGUGGAUGCCCUGGCAGUCAGAGGCGAUGAAGGACGUGCUAAUCUGCGAAAAGCGUCGGUAAGGUGAUAUGAACCGUUACAGCCGGCGAUGUCCGAAUGGGGAAACCCAGUGUGAUUCGUCACACUAUCGUUAACUGAAUACAUAGGUUAACGAGGCGAACCGGGGGAACUGAAACAUCUAAGUACCCCGAGGAAAAGAAAUCAACCGAGAUUCCCCCAGUAGCGGCGAGCGAACGGGGAGCAGCCCAGAGUCUGAAUCAGCUUGUGUGUUAGUGGAACGGUCUGGAAAGUCCGACGGUACAGGGUGAUAGUCCCGUACACCAAAAUGCACAGGCUGUGAACUCGAAGAGUAGGGCGGGACACGUGGUAUCCUGUCUGAAUAUGGGGGGACCAUCCUCCAAGGCUAAAUACUCCUGACUGACCGAUAGUGAACCAGUACCGUGAGGGAAAGGCGAAAAGAACCCCGGCGAGGGGAGUGAAAAAGAACCUGAAACCGUGUACGUACAAGCAGUGGGAGCCUCUUUAUGGGGUGACUGCGUACCUUUUGUAUAAUGGGUCAGCGACUUAUAUUCUGUAGCAAGGUUAACCGUAUAGGGGAGCCGCAGGGAAACCGAGUCUUAACUGGGCGUUAAGUUGCAGGGUAUAGACCCGAAACCCGGUGAUCUAGCCAUGGGCAGGUUGAAGGUUGGGUAACACUAACUGGAGGACCGAACCGACUAAUGUUGAAAAAUUAGCGGAUGACUUGUGGCUGGGGGUGAAAGGCCAAUCAAACCGGGAGAUAGCUGGUUCUCCCCGAAAGCUAUUUAGGUAGCGCCUCGUGAACUCAUCUUCGGGGGUAGAGCACUGUUUCGGCUAGGGGGUCAUCCCGACUUACCAACCCGAUGCAAACUACGAAUACCGAAGAAUGUUAUCACGGGAGACACACGGCGGGUGCUAACGUCCGUCGUGAAGAGGGAAACAACCCAGACCGCCAGCUAAGGUCCCAAAGUCAUGGUUAAGUGGGAAACGAUGUGGGAAGGCCCAGACAGCCAGGAUGUUGGCUUAGAAGCAGCCAUCAUUUAAAGAAAGCGUAAUAGCUCACUGGUCGAGUCGGCCUGCGCGGAAGAUGUAACGGGGCUAAACCAUGCACCGAAGCUGCGGCAGCGACACUAUGUGUUGUUGGGUAGGGGAGCGUUCUGUAAGCCUGUGAAGGUGGCCUGUGAGGGCUGCUGGAGGUAUCAGAAGUGCGAAUGCUGACAUAAGUAACGAUAAAGCGGGUGAAAAGCCCGCUCGCCGGAAGACCAAGGGUUCCUGUCCAACGUUAAUCGGGGCAGGGUGAGUCGACCCCUAAGGCGAGGCCGAAAGGCGUAGUCGAUGGGAAACAGGUUAAUAUUCCUGUACUUGGUGUUACUGCGAAGGGGGGACGGAGAAGGCUAUGUCAUCCGGGCGACGGUUGUCCCGGUUUAAGCAUGUAGGCUGGUUAUCCAGGCAAAUCCGGAUAAUCAAGGCUGAGGUGUGAUGACGAGGUACCACGGUACUGAAGUGACAGAUGCCCUGCUUCCAGGAAAAGCCUCUAAGCAUCAGGUAACAUCAAAUCGUACCCCAAACCGACACAGGUGGUCAGGUAGAGAAUACCAAGGCGCUUGAGAGAACUCGGGUGAAGGAACUAGGCAAAAUGGUGCCGUAACUUCGGGAGAAGGCACGCUGGUGUGUAGGUGAAGUCCCUGCGGAUGGAGCUGAGACCAGUCGAAGAUACCAGCUGGCUGCAACUGUUUAUUAAAAACACAGCACUGUGCAAACACGAAAGUGGACGUAUACGGUGUGACGCCUGCCCGGUGCCGGAAGGUUAAUUGAUGGGGUUAUCCGUAAGGAGAAGCUCUUGAUCGAAGCCCCGGUAAACGGCGGCCGUAACUAUAACGGUCCUAAGGUAGCGAAAUUCCUUGUCGGGUAAGUUCCGACCUGCACGAAUGGCGUAAUGAUGGCCAGGCUGUCUCCACCCGAGACUCAGUGAAAUUGAACUCGCUGUGAAGAUGCAGUGUACCCGCGGCAAGACGGAAAGACCCCGUGAACCUUUACUAUAGCUUGACACUGAACAUUGAGCCUUGAUGUGUAGGAUAGGUGGGAGGCUUUGAAGCGUGGACGCCAGUCUGCGUGGAGCCAACCUUGAAAUACCACCCUUUAAUGUUUGAUGUUCUAACGUUGGCCCCUUAUCGGGGUUGCGGACAGUGUCUGGUGGGUAGUUUGACUGGGGCGGUCUCCUCCCAAAGCGUAACGGAGGAGCACGAAGGUUAGCUAAUCCUGGUCGGACAUCAGGAGGUUAGUGCAAUGGCAUAAGCUAGCUUGACUGCGAGCGUGACGGCGCGAGCAGGUGCGAAAGCAGGUCAUAGUGAUCCGGUGGUUCUGAAUGGAAGGGCCAUCGCUCAACGGAUAAAAGGUACUCCGGGGAUAACAGGCUGAUACCGCCCAAGAGUUCAUAUCGACGGCGGUGUUUGGCACCUCGAUGUCGGCUCAUCACAUCCUGGGGCUGAAGUAGGUCCCAAGGGUAUGGCUGUUCGCCAUUUAAAGUGGUACGCGAGCUGGGUUUAGAACGUCGUGAGACAGUUCGGUCCCUAUCUGCCGUGGGCGCUGGAGAAUUGAGGGGGGCUGCUCCUAGUACGAGAGGACCGGAGUGGACGCAUCACUGGUGUUCGGGUUGUCAUGCCAAUGGCACUGCCCGGUAGCUAAAUGCGGAAGAGAUAAGUGCUGAAAGCAUCUAAGCACGAAACUUGCCCCGAGAUGAGUUCUCCCUGAGACUAUAAGUCUCCUGAAGGAACGUUGAAGACGACGACGUUGAUAGGCCGGGUGUGUAAGCGCAGCGAUGCGUUGAGCUAACCGGUACUAAUGAACCGUGAGGCUUAACCU